CUAACUCUCUGAGUCCUCGCAACCCUCUGUGGGGAGUUUUCUCCUUAGCUCCAUUUUGGAAAUGGGGGAACUGAGCCAACGACAGGUUGAGUAACUUGCUAGAGGUCAAGUUAGUAUUGAGAGCCAGGAUCUGAACCCAGGCAGUGUAGCUCCUGAGCUUAGGUGCUGAACAACUGUGCUAUUAUGGGAUUUAGCGGAGAUGGAACUCAGUGGUGGCCUAGGUCAGAUACGUGGGGAAGGAGGCUGAGCUCCUUGUCUGGCCUGGUCUGAACUCUGAGAGGCAGGGUUGUGGCAGACGGCUGGCUCGGGAAGGAAUUCAGGCCAGAACCAAAGAUCUGAAGUUCAAUCGUCUUGCGGACAGAAGCAAAGAACCACAGAGGCAGCUCAGAUACAUUUGCCUGAGUUCCCAGCACCACACACCAAAUCCAGUUCCCUUCAGGCUGCAUCUCCGGUUUGUUGGACCUUGGUUUUCCAUGUGUUUUUUUAGCUUUGUUUACUUUCUUGCCACCAGCUCCAAGGAACCCCCAGCCCCUGACUGAGCCAGGCUCUAUCCACCACCCCUUGGAGGGCCAGAGGGAUUCAGGCUCAACCAGCCUUCCUGUCCUUUCUCUCGCUGUGCUCCCAACUUCCAUUUUUCGCUACUGGAUCUAUUGGCCAGAUCUUCCCCAUCAGACCAAAAAGAGGAUGGGAACAACUAUUCAGAUAAUUCAGACACUUAUUCAAGCAAAAAUGAUGAUACUUCUCCUCCUGAAUGAUCCGGAUAGUUGUUUUAAUUCUCAGCUUCACUUUGUCUCUGGAGCCCCAGGCUCUUCUUUGUUCCGUGACUCUAGUUAAAAUUCGGUCCCAGUGAUAAAUAUUUCUGAUCUAAUUGUUUCUUCCACUCCUGUUCCACAGGGGGUGUUUUCAGGGAAAAGGAUCUGUAGGUAAAUGAGAAUUAACUUCAAGCCUGGGCAAUGUUAGAAUCAAAAUAAAGCUGUCAUGGCAGACCUGCUAUCUACAUUUCACUUUCUGGAAGCGCCCCACUCUAUUUCAUCCCUCCCCAACCCCUGACACACGCAGCAGCAAGGAACAAAUCACCAUUUAUUAAACUCUAAUUAUCUCUCCCGUUUCUCAGUACCAUUCUCUGUGUAUGCCUGCCGCACACAAGCCUGUACUGCACUGCCAUUAAAUGAGCACUAGUCUUGUUAG
This 1188-nucleotide long non-coding RNA is filed under the name Equus caballus (horse). RNAcentral describes it as "lncRNA (ENSECAG00000046067.1)". The record is from RNAcentral. Lineage: Eukaryota; Metazoa; Chordata; Mammalia; Perissodactyla; Equidae.